Molecule: ribosomal RNA, 460 nt
Filed under: uncultured bacterium
Lineage: Bacteria
Description: partial 16S ribosomal RNA
Rfam family: Bacterial small subunit ribosomal RNA
Source: RNAcentral
CCUACGGGUGGCAGCAGUGAGGAAUAUUGGUCAAUGGACGCGAGCCUGAACCAGCCAAGUAGCGUGAAGGAUGACGGACCUAUGGGUUGUAAACCUCUUUUAUAAGGGAAUAAAGUGCGGCACGUGUGCCGCUUCGCAUGUACCUUAUGAAUAAGGAUCGGCUAACUCCGUGCCAGCAGCCGCGGUAAUACGGAGGAUCCGAGCGUUAUCCGGAUUUAUUGGGUUUAAAGGGUGCGUAGAUGGGAUUUUAAGUCAGCGGUGAAAGUGUGUGGCUCAACCGUAAAAUUGCAGUUGAAACUGGCGGUCUUGAGUACUGGUGAGGUAGGCGGAAUGCGUGGUGUAGCGGUGAAAUGCAUAGAUAUCACGCAGAACCCCGAUUGCGAAGGCAGCCUGCCAAGCCAUGACUGACGUUGAUGCACGAAAGCGUGGGGAUCGAACAGGAUUAGAUACCCUUGUAGUC